RNAcentral lists this ribosomal RNA (147 nucleotides) under Mesoptychia sahlbergii. RNAcentral describes it as "partial 5.8S ribosomal RNA". It matches the Rfam family "5.8S ribosomal RNA". Rfam says of the family: 5.8S ribosomal RNA (5.8S rRNA) is a component of the large subunit of the eukaryotic ribosome. It is transcribed by RNA polymerase I as part of the 45S precursor that also contains 18S and 28S rRNA. Lineage: Eukaryota; Viridiplantae; Streptophyta; Jungermanniopsida; Jungermanniales; Jungermanniaceae. The record is from RNAcentral.
CAGCAACGGAUAUCUUGGCUCUUGCAACGAUGAAGAACGCAGCGAAAUGCGAUACCUAGUGUGAAUUGCAGAAUUCCGCGAAUCAUCGAGUCUUUGAACGCAAGUUGCGCCCGAGGCUUGUCCCGAGGGCAUGCCUGCCUGAGCGUC